CCUACGGGAGGCAGCAGUGGGGAAUAUUGCGCAAUGGGCGAAAGCCUGACGCAGCGACGCCGCGUGAGGGAUGAAGGUCUUCGGAUUGUAAACCUCUGUCAGCAGGGAGGAACGGUCACUGUGCUAAUCAGCAGUGAAUUGACGGUACCUGCAAAGGAAGCACCGGCUAACUCCGUGCCAGCAGCCGCGGUAAUACGGAGGGUGCGAGCGUUAAUCGGAAUUACUGGGCGUAAAGCGCUCGUAGGCGGUAUGUCAAGUCAAGGGUGAAAUCCCCGGGCUCAACGUGGGAACUGCUUUUGAAACUGGCAAACUGGAGUGUGUGAGAGGAUAGUGGAAUUCCAGGUGUAGGAGUGAAAUGCGUAGAUAUCUGGAGGAACAUCAGUGGCGAAGGCGACUAUCUGGCACAUAACUGACGCUGAGGAGCGAAAGCGUGGGUAGCAAACAGGAUUAGAUACCCGGGUAGUC
Molecule: ribosomal RNA, 465 nt
Filed under: uncultured bacterium
Lineage: Bacteria
Description: partial 16S ribosomal RNA
Rfam family: Bacterial small subunit ribosomal RNA
Source: RNAcentral